GAUGUAGCCAAGUGGAUCAAGGCAGUGGAUUGUGAAU
RNAcentral lists this transfer RNA (37 nucleotides) under Parkia biglobosa. RNAcentral describes it as "partial tRNA-His". Lineage: Eukaryota; Viridiplantae; Streptophyta; Magnoliopsida; Fabales; Fabaceae. The record is from RNAcentral.